Ornithodoros turicata is the source of this 867-nucleotide long non-coding RNA. RefSeq lists it as uncharacterized. The transcript is spliced from 2 exons. Lineage: Eukaryota; Metazoa; Arthropoda; Arachnida; Ixodida; Argasidae. The record is from RefSeq and is a predicted model, not a curated record.
UAUAUACACGAGCGCGUGCUCCUCGAGCUGACCGAGCUCGUGCUCGAGCACAAAAUGUCGUUUUUUCGAGAUGGUCUCAUCUUUCGCACUUGUACCUUCGGGACGAUGUAAAUAAACGGUGUUUGAAACAGAACUCCGGGUCGAAGUACAUAACUGACAGUACAUUCGACGUGGUGCUGCAAGGACUCACGAAAGUAGCAGCAGUUCUAUUAUAUCCAUUCGGGAUUAAUCGGCAAUGACUUCACAGACAAGUUCCUCGGGUGUGCCUUUUUGGCAUCGGCGAACUAAACAGUGAACACUACGACUCUUGGAGUCUUGGAGCUUUGACAGAGAACGACUGGACUUUUACUUUGAAGCCGUGAAUGUCACGAACGACGACAAGAAACGUGCCGCAUUUACGACAGUAUGUGCAACUAUAUGGACAAUCUCCACGAAGGAUGUCUUCCAAAACCCAACGCAUAACAAGCGGAGGCACGCCGGAAAAACAAAAACAAUCAACUCUUGGAGCAAACACGAAUGCAAACUUAUCUCCGAGUGGCACAACUGCAGUGGGAACAGUAUGUUCGGCAAAGCGAACCAAUCACUUUGGUAGAAUGUAUCCGAGCCAACGGUCCGAUCUUGGGGGAGCGAGCGCUCGGGGAAGGCAGGAAGGCAGGUCACGCUCGCGACGUGGGUUGGAAGCGGCGUCUCCGGACGACUCUGGAAAAGUCUGGCGGGAAAUAAAAAGUGGCAGCAACGAAGAUGGUGGACAAUAGCGAAUACCAGUCACGAUUUCAAUUAGUACUUUCCAUCUUGCAAGUGGCAUUGGAUCGCGGCGAUCGGUGGUAUUUCGGGCUGUACAGGAAUAGAUAAAACUUUUUCCAGCCA